Molecule: transfer RNA, 74 nt
Filed under: Phaeocystis globosa
Lineage: Eukaryota; Haptophyta; Phaeocystales; Phaeocystaceae
Description: tRNA-Ala
Rfam family: tRNA
About the family: Transfer RNA (tRNA) molecules are approximately 80 nucleotides in length. Their secondary structure includes four short double-helical elements and three loops (D, anti-codon, and T loops). Further hydrogen bonds mediate the characteristic L-shaped molecular structure. tRNAs have two regions of fundamental functional importance: the anti-codon, which is responsible for specific mRNA codon recognition, and the 3' end, to which the tRNAs corresponding amino acid is attached (by aminoacyl-tRNA synthetases). tRNAs cope with the degeneracy of the genetic code in two manners: having more than one tRNA (with a specific anti-codon) for a particular amino acid; and 'wobble' base-pairing, i.e. permitting non-standard base-pairing at the 3rd anti-codon position.
Source: RNAcentral
UGGGGGUAUAGCUCAGUUGGUAGAGCGCUGCUUUUGCACGGCAGAUGUCAGCGGUUCGAAACCGCAUAUAUCAA